UGGGGAAUAUUGGGCAAUGGGCGAAAGCCUGACCCAGCAACGCCGCGUGAAGGAAGAAGGCCUUCGGGUUGUAAACUUCUUUGACCAGGGAAGAAGAAGUGACGGUACCUGGAAAACAAGCCACGGCUAACUACGUGCCAGCAGCCGCGGUAAUACGUAGGUGGCAAGCGUUGUCCGGAUUUACUGGGUGUAAAGGGCGUGUAGGCGGGAUUGCAAGUCAGAUGUGAAAUGCCGGGGCUUAACCCCGGAGCUGCAUUUGAAACUGUAGUUCUUGAGUGAUGGAGAGGCAGGCGGAAUUCCUAGUGUAGCGGUGAAAUGCGUAGAUAUUAGGAGGAACACCAGUGGCGAAGGCGGCCUGCUGGACAUUAACUGACGCUGAGGCGCGAAAGCGUGGGGAGCAAACAGG
RNAcentral lists this ribosomal RNA (406 nucleotides) under uncultured bacterium. RNAcentral's name for it is "bacterial SSU rRNA". It matches the Rfam family "Bacterial small subunit ribosomal RNA", at positions 355 to 776 of the family's 1533-position model. RNAcentral also lists the same sequence under 2 other names. The record is from RNAcentral.